CGGACGGGUGAGUAACGCGUGGAAAACCUGCCGUAUACUGGGGGAUAACACUUAGAAAUAGGUGCUAAUACCGCAUAAGCGCACAGCUUCGCAUGGAGCGGUGUGAAAAACUCUGGUGGUAUACGAUGGUUCCGCGUCUGAUUAGCUAGUUGGUGGGGUAAUGGCCUACCAAGGCAACGAUCAGUAGCCGGCCUGAGAGGGUGAACGGCCACAUUGGGACUGAGACACGGCCCAAACUCCUACGGGAGGCAGCAG
RNAcentral lists this ribosomal RNA (255 nucleotides) under uncultured bacterium. RNAcentral describes it as "partial 16S ribosomal RNA". It matches the Rfam family "Bacterial small subunit ribosomal RNA", at positions 99 to 354 of the family's 1533-position model. The record is from RNAcentral.